RNAcentral lists this ribosomal RNA (321 nucleotides) under uncultured eukaryote. Its description in RNAcentral is "partial 18S ribosomal RNA". It matches the Rfam family "Eukaryotic small subunit ribosomal RNA", at positions 1470 to 1796 of the family's 1831-position model. The record is from RNAcentral.
CCCUUAGAUGUCCUGGGCCGCACGCGCGCUACACUGACAUGUUCAACAAGCCUCCUAGUUCGACAGGAUUUGGGAAAUCUUUGAACGCAUGUCGUGAUAGGGAUAGAUCAUUGCAAUUAUUGAUCUUGAACGAGGAAUUCCUAGUAAACGCGAGUCAUCAGCUCGCAUUGAUUACGUCCCUGCCCUUUGUACACACUGCCCGUCGCACCUACCGAUUGAAUGUUUCGGUGAAGAUUCCGGAUAGGACUUUUUUGAUUUAUUUCAAUUUUGUCUUAAAAGCUAUCUAAACCUCAACAUUUAGAGGAAGGUGAAGUCGUAACA